RNAcentral lists this ribosomal RNA (959 nucleotides) under Pseudomonas sp. RNAcentral's name for it is "bacterial SSU rRNA". It matches the Rfam family "Bacterial small subunit ribosomal RNA", at positions 74 to 1030 of the family's 1533-position model. The record is from RNAcentral. Lineage: Bacteria; Pseudomonadati; Pseudomonadota; Gammaproteobacteria; Pseudomonadales; Pseudomonadaceae.
GAGAGCUUGCUCUCUGAUUCAGCGGCGGACGGGUGAGUAAUGCCUAGGAAUCUGCCUGGUAGUGGGGGACAACGUCUCGAAAGGGACGCUAAUACCGCAUACGUCCUACGGGAGAAAGCAGGGGACCUUCGGGCCUUGCGCUAUCAGAUGAGCCUAGGUCGGAUUAGCUAGUUGGUGAGGUAAUGGCUCACCAAGGCGACGAUCCGUAACUGGUCUGAGAGGAUGAUCAGUCACACUGGAACUGAGACACGGUCCAGACUCCUACGGGAGGCAGCAGUGGGGAAUAUUGGACAAUGGGCGAAAGCCUGAUCCAGCCAUGCCGCGUGUGUGAAGAAGGUCUUCGGAUUGUAAAGCACUUUAAGUUGGGAGGAAGGGCAGUAAGCGAAUACCUUGCUGUUUUGACGUUACCGACAGAAUAAGCACCGGCUAACUCUGUGCCAGCAGCCGCGGUAAUACAGAGGGUGCAAGCGUUAAUCGGAAUUACUGGGCGUAAAGCGCGCGUAGGUGGUUUGUUAAGUUGAAUGUGAAAUCCCCGGGCUCAACCUGGGAACUGCAUCCAAAACUGGCAAGAUAGAAUAGGGCAGAGGGUGGUGGAAUUUCCUGUGUAGCGGUGAAAUGCGUAGAUAUAGGAAGGAACACCAGUGGCGAAGGCGACCACCUGGGCUCAUACUGACACUGAGGUGCGAAAGCGUGGGGAGCAAACAGGAUUAGAUACCCUGGUAGUCCACGCCGUAAACGAUGUCAACUAGCCGUUGGAAGCCUUGAGCUUUUAGUGGCGCAGCUAACGCAUUAAGUUGACCGCCUGGGGAGUACGGCCGCAAGGUUAAAACUCAAAUGAAUUGACGGGGGCCCGCACAAGCGGUGGAGCAUGUGGUUUAAUUUGAAGCAACGCGAAGAACCUUACCAGGCCUUGACAUCCAAUGACUUUCUAGAGAUAGAUUGGUGCCUUCGGGAACAUU